GAUCAUGGUUCAGGACGAACGCUGGCGGCGCGCCUAACACAUGCAAGUCGAACGAGCGAGAGGAGGUUUACUUUCUCAAGCGAGUGGCGAACGGGUGAGUAACGCGUGAGGAACCUGCCUCAAAGAGGGGGACAACAGUUGGAAACGACUGCUAAUACCGCAUAAGCCCACGACCCGGCAUCGGGUAGAGGGAAAAGGAGCAAUCCGCUUUGAGAUGGCCUCGCGUCCGAUUAGCUAGUUGGUGAGGUAAUGG
This 253-nucleotide ribosomal RNA is filed under the name uncultured bacterium. Its description in RNAcentral is "partial 16S ribosomal RNA". It matches the Rfam family "Bacterial small subunit ribosomal RNA", at positions 15 to 263 of the family's 1533-position model. The record is from RNAcentral.